Non-coding RNA from Pelobates cultripes (western spadefoot toad), 576 nucleotides. NCBI's taxonomy places the organism in Eukaryota, Metazoa, Chordata, Amphibia, Anura, Pelobatidae. The record is from the annotation of a GenBank genome assembly.
UCCAUAUCUGCCAAGUGACCCUAUGUAGGGGGAACAGUCUCUAUUCUGCUCUGUGCCAGUGUGUAUCAUGGUCUCUGAGGACAGGUGUCAAUCCAUAUCUGCCAAGUGACCCUAUGUAGGGGGAACAGUCCCUAUUCUGCUCUGUGUCAGUGUUUAUCAGGGAUCCUUAGGAUAGGUGUCAAUCCAUAUCUGCAAAGUGACCCUAUGUAGGGGGAACAGUCCCUAUUCUGCUCUUUGUCAGUGUGUAUCAGGGAUCCUUAGGAUAGGUGUCAAUCCAUAUCUGCCAAGUGACCCUAUGUAGGGGGAACAGUCCCUAUUCUGCUCUGUGUCAGUGUGUAUCAGGGGCUCUGAGAACAGGUGUCAAUCCAUAUCUGCCAAGUGACCCUAUGUAGGGGGAACAGUCUCUAUUCUGCUCUCCGUCAGUGUGUAUCAUGGUCUCUGAGGACAGGUGUCAAUCCAUAUCUGGCAAGUGACCCUAUGUAGGGGGAACAGUCCCUAUUCUGCUCUGUGUCAGUGUGUAUCAGGGAUCCUUAGGAUAGGUGUCAAUUCAUAUCUGCCAAGUGACCCUAUGUAGGG